Long non-coding RNA from Beta vulgaris subsp. vulgaris (sugar beet), 1704 nucleotides. RefSeq lists it as uncharacterized. The record is from RefSeq and is a predicted model, not a curated record. The transcript is spliced from 3 exons. NCBI's taxonomy places the organism in Eukaryota, Viridiplantae, Streptophyta, Magnoliopsida, Caryophyllales, Amaranthaceae.
UAUACAUACUAUACUUAUACAUGCUUGUGUGAAGGCAAUAUUGAAUGUUGUGGCUACUGUGCUACCUAAGGCAGAGCAUAAGCACUGUGCAGGACAUGUUUUUGCACCUUGGCACAAAAGUUAUAGGGGAGAUGAAAUGAAACUUCAAUUUUGGAAGAUAGCCAAAGCAUAUAACAUGACAGAUUCUAAUGAUGCACUUAAUGAGUUAAGUUAUUUGAGUGCUGAUGUUGCUUUGGCUUUUAAAGCAUAUAACCCAAAAUGCUUUUGUAGAGCCUUCAUGGAUCCCACCAUUAAAUCAGAUGCCAUCCCCAAUAACAUGGCAGAAACAUUUAAUGGAUAUAUAAUCAAUGCUAGGACCAAGCAUUUGAUUUAUAUGAUGGAAGACAUUAGGGUGGAAUUAAUGCAAAGGCUUGUAACCAAAAGACAAGAAAUGGAGAGGCAAACCUCAGAAAUAUGCCCUAGGAUUCAAGCAAUCAUAGCAAAAGAAAAAACCAAGGCUGCCUACUAUGAUGUGAUUCCCUCAUCUAAAAAUAUAUUCAAUGUCAAACAUAACCUAGACCAGCUUAAUGUUGACUUAGGUGCUAAGAGUUGCACCUUUAGGAAGUGGGAUCUGCUAGGGGUGCCUUGUUGCCUUGCUAUAGCUUGUAUAUACUUCCAGAACAGAGAGGAAGAAUCAUUUGUUGAUGAGUUUUACAAGAAACAUUCCUAUUUGAAGGCAUAUGCAGGGGCCAUACCUCCAUGAGGGAGAGAGACACUAGCCAAGAGUGGAGUGCAACUUAGAUCCUCCCCCAAUCAAAAUAGGCCCUAGUAGGCAAAGAAAGAACAGGAUCAGAGAUCCCUUUGAGAAUCCAAAAAAAACCAAGGACUAGGCAUGGGAUGGAUAUGACAUGUAGAUUAAACAUGCAAAAGGGCCAUAACAAAAGGGGGUGUCCACAAAAAGACAUUGUUGUUCCUCCAGAACCUCAGCCUAAAAAAGCAAGAGGGAGGCAUGGGAAAGACUCUGCCCCACUACCAAUGAUUCACCAUUCAACAACAGCACAUCUAACUCAGCUUGGCAGAGGUGGGAGAAUGAUUUCGGGUGGCAAGGGAGCAAGAGGAAGAGGCACUGGAAGAGGGAAAAAAUCUAGAGGUAGGGGAUUGAGAGGAGGUUCAACAAGAGCUGGACAUGCAAGAGGAGAUGGUACAAGAAAGGGUGGGUCAGUUGGUGACACUGUUGUUUCAAGAGGAAGAGGAAAUUCAAGUAGAGGAAGGGGUAGAGGCAGGGGAAGAAAUCAGGUGCCUGUUGGAGUUGGUGUAUAUUUUGGCCAAGAUGGAACACCAAUUUCCAGUGGAUCUACCUAGUGGUCAUGGUGGUCCAAGAAAUCUCACCCUAGUGCCAAAUGUGGGAUCCCAAUCAAGUCAAGCAUCAUCAGUAUUACAUCUAACUCAGUAGGAAGCAUGAAGUACCUAUUUUUUGUCAGAAGUAGCAGUGUUCAAUUGGAUUAGUUUUUAACUUGUAACUUGGUAGUACUCUAUUAGAGAGAUACAUGGAUCAAUUUUUGAUAGUGAUCAAUUAUGAUUACUUUUUGUAUGUCAUCAUUAUAUUACAUCAUGUUUUAGGGUUUAUUGAGUAAUGUAAGUAGAUGAAACUUGAUGUUGGAAACACUAAUCUGUAAUGGGAUUACAUUUUGUGCCUAUUAUUACAGCAACUUUGUUGUCAUCACA